Capsicum annuum is the source of this 1766-nucleotide long non-coding RNA. RefSeq lists it as uncharacterized. Lineage: Eukaryota; Viridiplantae; Streptophyta; Magnoliopsida; Solanales; Solanaceae. The record is from RefSeq and is a predicted model, not a curated record. The transcript is spliced from 3 exons.
UCAAGGGGGCCCCACAGGGAAUUCCCCAAUUCAUAUAUACACUCACAGUAACAAUACAGAGGGGGGACACCAUCAACUUCAUCUUCUCCACCUUAUAUCAUCACAGCAAGAUACUUCAUUCUUCCACUCAUCAUCUUUUAUUUCUUCUGGCUCACUGAUAUACUCACCAACCUCACGAUAUCUGGGGACACAUAGACUGGUAUAGGGAAAUAGAUAGGAGUGGGAGAGAUCUAUUGAGAGAGAAAUUGAGAAAACAAGGAGAGUGAGAGAGAGCACUGGUCAGAGUGUGAGAAAACCAGAGAUAAAGGGAUUCUCAAGUUUUCCCAACAAGAUUCUCUCCGAAAUUAGCACCAUCCGUUCGAGUUAACUCAUCCCGUGCCGAAAACCCAACAUAACUCAUCGUUUCUUUCUAAUUUUUAGGAGAUACUAUCGGAAAUAAGUGAACAAUAGUAGCAGCAUCAACAUGUUUUUUAAAAGCGAUUCUAAACAAUUUAACACCGGUGUUGUAUUUGGAUCGGGUUUCGAAGAUUUUCAUGUUGGAGUUGGUUCGUAGUUGAGUUGUGGUAUUCUUCAAGGCUGAUUCGGGGUUCUUCGUCAUGCAGAGUCAUCUUUUCGAUUGAUUGAUAUUUGAAAUAAAAUCAUGAUUGAGGGAAUGCCCCAAGACACAUUGUAUUUAUUCACCGGGGAAUGCCCUGAUGUAUUAUGUUGGUGGAAGACGUUCGUGAUGAAGGCCCGAGACAUUGGAUAAGCAUUGGAGCAUAGUUUAGGAUUAGUCUAGAAUAGGAUUUAUAUUUUUGUAUUUCUAUCCUUGGGACUGUAUAAUUCGAACUGGACAUUAUUUUGGUUUUGAAUUUGUUUGAUUUGUUUAUUUGCUUGUUUCGUGUGUUAUGUGUGGUUUAUACAUUUUGUAGUAUCAAAUUAGCCGAUAUGCUCCACCAAGCGACUGUGAUUGAACCACGGGAUCGAGGGGUGCCUAACACCUUCCCCUCGGUCAACAGAAUUCCUUAGCCGAAAUCUCUGUUCGCAAACUAGUUUAAAGAGUCAAAUCAUUUUGAAAAGUAUUUUCCAAAGGUGACUUGGCACACUGGAUUAUGUCAAGUGGCGACUCUGAAUAGAAAUAUAAAUAAUCCUUUUUCGAUACAAAUGUUCAUCUUUUGUCACCUAAUAAUAAAAAUCCUUUCGAAACUUUAAAAUCUAAUUCUUUUUGGGAGUUGAAAAAAAGGGGUGUGACAAUUAUAUUAUGAUGACUGUGUACUUUCUUCUUUUUGAGAAGAGGGUUUGAACGUCAUCAGAAGCAAAGAUAACAAGAAUUUUUGAGAUAUAUAGUUUUUUUUUAAAUUAGCUUUGGGCCUGACCCGUUUUAUUAAAUAAAAGAUGUAAUGUUUGUACAAAAUUACUCAAGUGAGCCCAAAAAAUGAAAAUAAAAAGAUAUCUGAAGAGUCAAGACCCGAUCCACCAAUGGGUCUUCCCCAACUAUAAAAAUGCCCUAUAGUAGGGUUUUCUAAUUGUGACUUCCCUAACGUAAUCCUUAAAUGUUGCCUCUGGAAGCUCUCUUCAAUGAUGAAUUCCGUAUACGUUUGUUUUAGGCCAUUAAUUUUCUCGAAGAUGAAGCAAGUGACGAGAUCUUCAUAUUUAGCUUGCAAAGGUACUACAAGUCCAGAUCCGACCCCUCUUCUCAAACGGUGAUGUCAAGAUUUUAGCAACCAAUUUUCAUUGCAAAUUAUCAAAAUUCGGUGACUCAACCAAGUAAACUGACCCAACUUCAA